GACGAACGCUGGCGGCGUGCUUAACACAUGCAAGUCGAACGGAAAGGCCUGCUUUCCCUUGUGGAUUGCGGGUACUCGAGUGGCGAACGGGUGAGUAACACGUGAGUGAUCUGCCCCCAACUUGGGUAUAAGCCUGGGAAACUGGGUCUAAUUCCCGAUAGGACUGCAGGGUGGUGCCUGUGGUGGAGAACGAUUUUCUAGUGGUUGGGGAUGAGCUCGCGGCCUAUCAGCUUGUUGGUGGGGUAAUGGCCUACCAAGGCGGCGACGGGUAGCCGGCCUGAGAGGGUGGACGGCCACAUUGGGACUGAGAUACGGCCCAGACUCCUACGGGAAGCAGCAGUGGGGAAUAUUGCACAAUGGGCGGAAGCCUGAUGCAGCGACGCCGCGUGGGGGAUGACGGCCUUCGGGUUGUAAACUCCUUUCGACCGCGAGGAAGCCACCUGGUUGGAAGGGUGGUGACGGUAGUGGUAGAAGAAGCACCGGCUAACUACGUG
RNAcentral lists this ribosomal RNA (494 nucleotides) under uncultured bacterium. RNAcentral's name for it is "partial 16S ribosomal RNA". It matches the Rfam family "Bacterial small subunit ribosomal RNA", at positions 28 to 507 of the family's 1533-position model. The record is from RNAcentral.